GACGAACGCUGGCGGCGUGCUUAACACAUGCAAGUCGAACGGAAAGGCCCUGCUUUUGUGGGGUGCUCGAGUGGCGAACGGGUGAGUAACACGUGAGUAACCUGCCCUUGACUUUGGGAUAACUUCAGGAAACUGGGGCUAAUACCGGAUAGGAGCUCCUGCUGCAUGGUGGGGGUUGGAAAGUUUCGGCGGUUGGGGAUGGACUCGCGGCUUAUCAGCUUGUUGGUGGGGUAGUGGCUUACCAAGGCUUUGACGGGUAGCCGGCCUGAGAGGGUGGCCGGCCACAUUGGGACUGAGAUACGGCCCAGACUCCUACGGGGGGCAGCAGUGGGGAAUAUUGCACAAUGGGCGGAAGCCUGAUGCAGCAACGCCGCGUGCGGGAUGACGGCCUUCGGGUUGUAAACCGCUUUCGCCUGUGACGAAGCGUGAGUGACGGUAAUGGGUAAAGAAGCACCGGCUAACUACGUG
Molecule: ribosomal RNA, 468 nt
Filed under: uncultured bacterium
Lineage: Bacteria
Description: partial 16S ribosomal RNA
Rfam family: Bacterial small subunit ribosomal RNA
Source: RNAcentral